Non-coding RNA from Punica granatum (pomegranate), 747 nucleotides. The record is from RefSeq and is a predicted model, not a curated record. NCBI's taxonomy places the organism in Eukaryota, Viridiplantae, Streptophyta, Magnoliopsida, Myrtales, Lythraceae.
AGAAAGAAAAAAAACAGAGGGUGAAGGAGGAGAAGUAGAGAGAGAGAGAGAGAGAGCAAAGCAAGAUCGAAGAAGAAGAGGACUAAGCUUCGGGGAGUAGCUUCGGCUCUGUUCUUCCUUCUUUACGAACUAAACAACAGAGAGAAAACUGAAACAUGGGAGCUCAAGUUCGAGAAGAGGAAGUUCAUGACCGAGAGUAAAAUUCAGUUUUCCGACUUGAGUUGACGAGACCGAAAGCAAGCAUCAUGAAGGCUCGAUUCAGUGGACUAUAUGUUGGGUGUUCUCUGUGGGAUUAUUAGACUCAGCGGAAUAAGAUUGGGGGGUGUGGUUGACCGCUGGACCCGGCAGAAUAGAAAGGGGCAGGAACGGCCGCUGAACCCGGUGGAAUAGAAAAAAUGGGCACGAACGGCCGCUGGACUCGGCGGAAUAGAAAAAAAAAGGGCACGAACGGCCGCUGGACUCGACGGAAUAGAAAAAGGGGCCCCUUUAUGAGAUAUGAUGAUGAAGAUAAGCUAGGAGAUACACUAGCCGUACGGGAGAACUUUUGGAUCACGGGGAUCAGCGCGGAGAAUAUUUUUGGCAAAUAGACCCACUCAUAGUCUAAGUAGUAAGUUCUUGUAGAAUUCUGUAGUUAUGUUAUGGCUUGAAAUUUUUUUUGAGUUGGUUUAGUGAGAUGGUUGAGAGAAAGUACUAUCUUGAGAGAUAUAUUAGAACCUGCUGGAUUGGUUAAAUGUUUUGGGAGUUAUG